Non-coding RNA from Citrus sinensis (sweet orange), 88 nucleotides. The record is from Rfam. Lineage: Eukaryota; Viridiplantae; Streptophyta; Magnoliopsida; Sapindales; Rutaceae.
UAGAAAUAGGGGUUCCUUGCGGCCCAAAACAGUUGGCUAACUCUGCUCUUCUCUCUAUGUUUUGGACUGAAGGGAGCUCCUAAUUCUU